Molecule: ribosomal RNA, 476 nt
Filed under: uncultured organism
Description: partial 16S ribosomal RNA
Rfam family: Bacterial small subunit ribosomal RNA
Source: RNAcentral
ACACUCCUACGGGAGGCAGCAGUGGGGAAUUUUGGACAAUGGGCGAAAGCCUGAUCCAGCAAUGCCGCGUGAGUGAAGAAGGCCUUCGGGUUGUAAAGCUCUUUUGUCAGGGAAGAAACGGUGAAAGCUAAUAUCUUUUGCUAAUGACGGUACCUGAAGAAUAAGCACCGGCUAACUACGUGCCAGCAGCCGCGGUAAUACGUAGGGUGCAAGCGUUAAUCGGAAUUACUGGGCGUAAAGCGUGCGCAGGCGGUUUUGUAAGUCUGAUGUGAAAGCCCCGGGCUCAACCUGGGAAUUGCAUUGGAGACUGCAAGGCUAGAAUCUGGCAGAGGGGGGUAGAAUUCCACGUGUAGCAGUGAAAUGCGUAGAUAUGUGGAGGAACACCGAUGGCGAAGGCAGCCCCCUGGGUCAAGAUUGACGCUCAUGCACGAAAGCGUGGGGAGCAAACAGGAUUAGAAACCCGUGUAGUCCCAUGA